AGAAAAGCAGUGCUUUGUUGCCUUUUGUGAACUAGGCCCUCGUAGACGUCAGGGAAAUUAUUUUCAUUGUUAUUGGGUGAACCUCUGUUAUUUGCUUUGACUGUUGGUUCAGUAAAUGAUGAAACAAUA
Manihot esculenta (cassava) is the source of this 129-nucleotide small nucleolar RNA. RefSeq annotates it as small nucleolar RNA snoR74. The transcript has a single exon. Lineage: Eukaryota; Viridiplantae; Streptophyta; Magnoliopsida; Malpighiales; Euphorbiaceae. The record is from RefSeq and is a predicted model, not a curated record.